AUAAUAAUUGUCAACACAACACAACUAGUAAUCAUUAUAUUAGGUCAAAAUUAGAUUUAACAAAAAUUUUGAAAAUAAGUAUAUCAUAUGUUCAUGGAGAAUAUAGUAACUAGAACAGAAAUUGUGUGUUUUUCAUCAAUUUAGUAGUUCAGUAAAUUUCUUACAAAACAUUUUGGAAAUAAUUUUUUUUGGUUGUUGAAUAUUAAUUAUAAAUUUUACUACUUAGUGACUUUGGCGUCGAUUUAACCAUUUUUAACGAAAUUCGAAAAGACCUUUAAAAAUUGCAUUGGAAAAAUGGAUUUAAUUGCGGUUGUGGGCUUGACUGGCAUGUUUAAUAUUUUGCAACCAGUAUUCGCAAGUUUAAACAUAGAGUCACCGUCUACCCUGGUAAUUAUAGGGGUCCCACUAAAAGGCAUUAUCCUUACAAUGGCCAUUCUGGAUUUGGUCUUCAACAACUAUGAAGACACGGUGCCUGAUAUUUCCAACUUGUACGGAUAAAAACGGUUCAUAAAAAAUUUUGAAAAUGCCGGUAAACUACCAGGUUAUUUAAAAUUACUCUGUAAUUUGGUAAAAUUAAAAAUAAUGUGCAAAAACUAA
Molecule: long non-coding RNA, 597 nt
Organism: Drosophila willistoni
Lineage: Eukaryota; Metazoa; Arthropoda; Insecta; Diptera; Drosophilidae
Exons: 2
Source: RefSeq, a predicted model, not a curated record